UCAUUUACAAUCCAGCAUCUGGGGUAUACUCACGAGUAUUUGAUUACUAACCUGAUAAGCCUCGGGAAGGUCUGAGACAGGGUCGAAAGGAAUACCUUCCAGAGAGGUAUUUAAAUUUUAUAUUUUCUAGCAGAAAAUUUUACUGAUAGAAGGCAAAAGGAAAAGAAAUUCUGUAUUGACCCCGGAACAUGUUUUUUACGGUGUUCCCGGGGUGAAAUGCAUUGAAAUCUUUUGUGACCAGCUAUUUAAGUACAAUGUGCUGGCUAUAGAACUCAAUUCAGACUAAUCUGUAAAUGA
This 297-nucleotide RNase P RNA is filed under the name Musca domestica (house fly). Its description in RNAcentral is "Nuclear RNase P". It matches the Rfam family "Nuclear RNase P". From Rfam's summary of the family: Ribonuclease P (RNase P) is a ubiquitous endoribonuclease, found in archaea, bacteria and eukarya as well as chloroplasts and mitochondria. The record is from Rfam by way of RNAcentral. Lineage: Eukaryota; Metazoa; Arthropoda; Insecta; Diptera; Muscidae.